RNAcentral lists this ribosomal RNA (271 nucleotides) under uncultured prokaryote. RNAcentral describes it as "partial 16S ribosomal RNA". It matches the Rfam family "Bacterial small subunit ribosomal RNA", at positions 524 to 792 of the family's 1533-position model. The record is from RNAcentral.
UACGGAGGAUCCGAGCGUUAUCCGGAUUUAUUGGGUUUAAAGGGUGCGCAGGCGGGAGAUUAAGUCGGCGGUGAAAUUUUGCAGCUCAACUGUAAAAGUGCCUUCGAUACUGGUUUCCUUGAGUGUGGAUGAAGUAGGCGGAAUUUGUGGUGUAGCGGUGAAAUGCUUAGGAUAUCACGAGGAACUCCGAUUGCGCAGGCAGCUUACUAAACCACUACUGACGCUCAGGCACGAAGGCGUGGGGAUCAAACAGGAUUAGAUACCCCUGGUA